AAAUCCAUUGUAACAUGCUGCCAAGCUUGAGUAGGAGCAUGUAGUGGCUGCAACAAACCUGGGGAAGCACAAGUUUCUGCUUUACACCUGGCACAUGUAUCACAAUUUUUAACCCACUCUACUACUUCUUUAAACAUGCCAGACCAAUAAAAAUGCCUACUUAAUCUGACAGAAGUAGCAUUGAUUCCAGAAUGCCCCCUUUAAUGAGAAUUGUGGUAGAGAGCUA
This 226-nucleotide unclassified non-coding RNA is filed under the name Hevea brasiliensis (rubber tree). Lineage: Eukaryota; Viridiplantae; Streptophyta; Magnoliopsida; Malpighiales; Euphorbiaceae. The record is from RNAcentral.